AAACUUAGGAUUAUCCACAAAC
Molecule: transfer RNA, 22 nt
Filed under: Rhegmatorhina hoffmannsi (white-breasted antbird)
Lineage: Eukaryota; Metazoa; Chordata; Aves; Passeriformes; Thamnophilidae
Description: partial tRNA-Trp
Source: RNAcentral